UCGUAACAAGGUUUCCGUAGGUGAACCUGCGGAAGGAUCAUUACUGUGAUUUAGUACUACACUGCGUGAGCGGAACGAAAACAACAACACCUAAAAUGUGGAAUAUAGCAUAUAGUCGACAAGAGAAAUCUACGAAAAACAAACAAAACUUUCAACAACGGAUCUCUUGGUUCUCGCAUCGAUGAAGAGCGCAGCGAAAUGCGAUACCUAGUGUGAAUUGCAGCCAUCGUGAAUCAUCGAGUUCUUGAACGCACAUUGCGCCCCUCGGCAUUCCGGGGGGCAUGCCUGUUUGAGCGUCGUUUCCAUCUUGCGCGUGCGCAGAGUUGGGGGAGCGGAGCGGACGACGUGUAAAGAGCGUCGGAGCUGCGACUCGCCUGAAAGGGAGCGAAGCUGGCCGAGCGAACUAGACUUUUUUUCAGGGACGCUUGGCGGCCGAGAGCGAGUGUUGCGAGACAACAAAAAGCUCGACCUCAAAUCAGGUAGGAAUACCCGCUGAACUUAAGCAUAUCA
This 510-nucleotide unclassified non-coding RNA is filed under the name Pichia kudriavzevii. Its description in RNAcentral is "sequence contains 18S rRNA gene, ITS1, 5.8S rRNA gene, ITS2, 28S rRNA gene". The stretch from base 147 to 299 matches the Rfam family "5.8S ribosomal RNA". The record is from RNAcentral. Lineage: Eukaryota; Fungi; Ascomycota; Pichiomycetes; Pichiales; Pichiaceae.